AUAUUGCACAAUGGGCGCAAGCCUGACGCAGCGACGCCGCGUUAGCGAAGAAGGUUUUCGGACCGUAAAGCUCUGUUCUCUGGGGAGAAAAAAAUGACGGUACUAGAGGAGGAAGCCCCGGCUAACUACGUGCCAGCAGCCGCGGUAAUACGUAAGGGGCUAGCGUUGUCCGGAUUUACUGGGCGUAAAGGGUGAGUAGGCGGUAACGUGUGUCAGAUGUUUAAUCUAUGGGCUCAACCCAUAUCAGCAUUUGAAACUACGUAACUUGAAUGCAGGAGAGGUAAGUGGAAUUCCUAGUGUAGCGGUAGAAUGCGUAGAUAUUAGGAGGAACACCAGUGGCGAAGGCGACUUACUGGACUGCAACUGAGGCUGAGUCACGAAAGCGUGGGGAGCAAGCAGG
This 400-nucleotide ribosomal RNA is filed under the name uncultured bacterium. RNAcentral describes it as "partial 16S ribosomal RNA". It matches the Rfam family "Bacterial small subunit ribosomal RNA", at positions 361 to 776 of the family's 1533-position model. The record is from RNAcentral.